Molecule: ribosomal RNA, 404 nt
Filed under: uncultured bacterium
Lineage: Bacteria
Description: bacterial SSU rRNA
Rfam family: Bacterial small subunit ribosomal RNA
Source: RNAcentral
CCGCGUGUGUGAAGAAGGCCUUCGGGUUGUAAAGCACUUUCAGUCGUGAGGAAGGUAGUGUAGUUAAUAGCUGCAUUAUUUGACGUUUAGCGACAGAAGAAGCACCGGCUAACUCCGUGCCAGCAGCCGCGGUAAUACGGAGGGUGCGAGCGUUAAUCGGAAUUACUGGGCGUAAAGCGCAUGCAGGUGGUUUGUUAAGUCAGAUGUGAAAGCCCGGGGCUCAACCUCGGAAUUGCAUUUGAAACUGGCAGACUAGAGUACUGUAGAGGGGGUAGAAUUUCAGGUGUAGCGGUGAAAUGCGUAGAGAUCUGAAGGAAUACCGGUGGCGAAGGCGGCCCCCUGGACAGAUACUGACACUCAGAUGCGAAAGCGUGGGGAGCAAACAGGAUUAGAUACCCUGGUAG